UACGGAGGAUGCGAGCGUUAUCCGGAUUUAUUGGGUUUAAAGGGUGCGUAGGUGGUUUUUUAAGUCAGCGGUGAAAGUUUGUGGCUCAACCAUAAAAUUGCCGUUGAAACUGGGGAACUUGAGUAUAUUUGAGGUAGGCGGAAUGCGUGGUGUAGCGGUGAAAUGCAUAGAUAUCACGCAGAACUCCGAUUGCGAAGGCAGCUUACUAAACUAUAACUGACACUGAAGCACGAAAGCGUGGGGAUCAAACAGG
RNAcentral lists this ribosomal RNA (253 nucleotides) under Parabacteroides goldsteinii. RNAcentral describes it as "partial 16S ribosomal RNA". It matches the Rfam family "Bacterial small subunit ribosomal RNA", at positions 524 to 776 of the family's 1533-position model. The record is from RNAcentral. Lineage: Bacteria; Pseudomonadati; Bacteroidota; Bacteroidia; Bacteroidales; Tannerellaceae.